AGGGACAAAUAAAAACGACAUAUUGAUAUACUUAAGAGACAUUUAAUAAUAAUUCAUAUUUUAGGAAAUAUUCUUACAACUCCAUAAGGUUAAUAUCUAUUCAAUUGAUAUAAAUAGAACAUGAGUUUUAUAAAUUAUAAAGUGAUAAAAUAAUAUUAUAUUUGAUACAUGCAAAGGCGGAAAAAAUGGUUAAAAUUGUCAUGUUUGUUUAUGUUAUGAUUAUCUGUGUUUCCCUAAUUCAUUUUGCAACAAAUGUUGAAGGCAAGACACUUUUUCUUAAUUUUUUUUUUUUAAUCUUUUUCAAAUUUAAUUAUUUACUGUUAUAAUAGUCACAUUUUUCAUGAUAUUUUUUUGUUACAGCGGGUACAUGUUUCCAAGAUUCUGAUUGUCCUCAAGACAUGUGUCAAUCUCCUUUUAAACCAAAGUGUAUUUAUAGUAACUGUGUAUGCUAUAGAAUGAUGCCAUAGAUUUUAUGAGUGCCAAAUUCAAGAGAGUACACAAACACUCUUCUAGAAUAUUUUUCAUGAGUUAUCAUCUAGUUAUUGGAUUCGCACCAAAUAAAUUUAUUUUCUUUUUCUAAUUUCAGGAACUUGUAAUUAUGACUUUCUACUUAAAGAUGAUAAAAACAAAAUGAAAUAUUGUAACAAUAGCGGUAUCCUAUGAGUAUGUUAUUGUUAAUUAUUAUACUACUUCCGU
RNAcentral lists this long non-coding RNA (696 nucleotides) under Trifolium pratense (red clover). RNAcentral describes it as "long non-coding RNA (TPRA_LNC011557)". Lineage: Eukaryota; Viridiplantae; Streptophyta; Magnoliopsida; Fabales; Fabaceae. The record is from RNAcentral.